GCCGGAGUGGUGGAAUUGGUAGACACGCCAGACUCAAAAUCUGGUGGGCGAAAGUCCGUGCCGGUUCGAGCCCGGCCUCCGGUA
This 84-nucleotide transfer RNA is filed under the name Myxococcales bacterium. Its description in RNAcentral is "tRNA-Leu". It matches the Rfam family "tRNA". Rfam says of the family: Transfer RNA (tRNA) molecules are approximately 80 nucleotides in length. Their secondary structure includes four short double-helical elements and three loops (D, anti-codon, and T loops). Lineage: Bacteria; Pseudomonadati; Myxococcota; Myxococcia; Myxococcales. The record is from RNAcentral.